CCCACCUCAGCCUCCCAAAGCGCUGGGACUACAGGGGUGAGCCACCGCGCCCAGCCUGCUGCCACAUUUUUUUCACCAAAAGCAAAUCUAACCGGGUUCUCUGGUUAGAUGCCUACAACAGCCAUCUGAGAAGCCGUCCCUUCACAGUCUGGCCCCAACUCUUCUUCACUCCAGCUCGUCCUCUGGCACUGUGACUACACUACAUUCACUGUUCCCAGAGCACAUUUUCAGGCCCGUGUAUAAUAUAUACUACAGUUUGCGCACAGAAUCUCUUUCACAAGAUUCCCCCUCUGUCUAAAACAUUCUGUAUUUUUCAGGCCCUGCUCACAAAUCAUCUCUUCCUCAAAUUUUCUCAUGAAGAAUAAACUUCUCCCUCUGGGUUACCUAUGCACAGUUAAUACAGCUUUUUUUGUGGUCCCUAUUCUACACACUACUCUUACUACAAAUUUUGCGUUUGCUCCCACUAGAAAGUGAGAUUGUUGUGGGAACCUCUUGCACCAGGAGAGCCCCGGUACCUUACACACUGACUGCCUCAAGUCAUGUGAUAGCCUGAGUUUUUCCACUGUUUGAAAACUGGCUCUGCCAUCUUUCACCUGUGCAGUCUGGGACAAGUCGUUAUGAGGCUUCUCCAAGUCUCAUUUCCUCUUACGAAAACUUAUUAUCUCUAUUUGGAAAGUUAUCGUGAAGAUCUCAGCUUAUGAAAUGAUGUAUGUGAAGCACCCACCACAAAGCACGAUGCUGGCUUUCUAUUAACUGUAACUGACAGAUAAAAAUGCGCUGGAGUAAUGAAACGGGGGGGAAGAGGCUGCCCAAAGGAUGAAUUAAGGAGAAUCAGUUCAGUCCCACAAACAUUUGCUGGGUGCCUACUACGUACUGUACCAGAGGUGGAAGGACAUAAACAGCAAAGGACGAACGAAGCACAGUCCCUGCCCACAGGAAAAGUAAACUGCCAGAUGACAAAGGUUCACCGAGGAGUUUUUGGGGUAAACCUAUGGUCCCCUCCACACAAGGAGCUUUUCAAGGGCAGCGGUUCUCAACAGGGCGAUGUUGUUCCCCAGAGGACAUUUUGGGUUGCCACAAACGGGGAGGAGGUGCGACCGGCACCCAGCAGGUGGAGGCCAGGGAUGUUGCUAACGAGCCUCGGACGCACGGACAGCCCCGAUCACAAGGAGUCUUCAGAAGCACAGCGCACAAGUAAAGAUGCCCCCUUUACCUACCAGCCCGGCAGCACCGCGCCGGGUCCCCGCCCACACCAGCCACGGGGAGCGGACUUCCGGCGGGGCGGACCCACGGCGCUGCCCGAGGCGCAGCGGACCUGACUCCAGCCCGAUCCCGGGAGCUCGACCCCGGGAGUGCGACCCAGGGGACACCGAGCCCCUGCAGCCCCGCAGUGAUCCUGUCUACUGAGAGGGCUGGGAAGCCACAUGCCUCCUACAACAACUAGAAGCCAACAAGUGAGCCUCGUCUCUCAACAAGAAAAGGAAAACGAAGUCUCCAGUAGGUCAGAUAACUACCAAUGCCACCCGGCUGAUGACAGCAGAACUGGCUUCCAGGAUUGGCUGCCGUUUCUGAAGUCCACAUAACCUGCCAAUUUGUCCAGAAGGUGUUGAAUUCUAAAAAGGUCAGCUUUACAAUUGCUGUCUCUAAUUCCCAUGCCAAUAGUUAAUCAUUUUCACUUGCGGGGCGUUUUCCCUCCAGGAGCCACAGACAGGUCUGCUGAGGGGCACGGACGGGACUGAAGUGUCCCCUCCUGGCGUACCCCUGGGCGCCAGCCUUAGCAAUGCUGGCUGGGCUUUCAGACUCCAUCUGCGGAGCCACACCCCGGAGUGCAACGGGGUAGAGAGUGAAAUGAAAAGAACGUGGGGUAUGGAGGAAGGACCUUUGGGCUCAUGGUCCAGCAGGAAAACUCAGUAGCCGUGUGGCCUGCGCAGGAGCCGUAACCCCUGGGACCUCAGCAGGCUGUGCCGCCUAAGAGUGUCGGGACUCACCAGGGUGUCCUGAGGACCGGAAGCAGUGACUCUGGUGGAUGGUCUCUGUGGAGUCUAACACCCCACACAAAUCCCACUGUCACCUCCUUUUCUCUCCCUCCCCACCUCCUCCAGGGCCCGGGUGGCUGCUAUUGUUUAGUAUCUUUUCCAGGUGUGGUUAUGACAUCACCUUCGCACUGUCCUCUUGGAAUCACUGAAGAGGUUUCUGGGAUGGGAGAACUGAAAGGAGCCUUAGGAAUUUUCUAGAACCAUCAUCCCACACCACCACCCACUUCAGAAGAGAACCGAGGUUCCAAGUCACAGGGCAAGUUGGUGGCAGACCCAGGUCUCCUAACUGGCUACAGUGCCCCCCAGCCCCAGCCUUCCCCGUCUCCUCCCACCUCGCCGUAGCCCCACCUUGGCCUGCCCCGCCAGGAAGCAGAAUUCCCCCUUUCAAGGGUGCCCUGAAGCCCCCAUGGCAAG
Long non-coding RNA from Cercocebus atys (sooty mangabey), 2450 nucleotides. RefSeq lists it as uncharacterized. Lineage: Eukaryota; Metazoa; Chordata; Mammalia; Primates; Cercopithecidae. The transcript has 4 exons. The record is from RefSeq and is a predicted model, not a curated record.